UACAGAGGGUGCAAGCGUUGUUCGGAAUCAUUGGGCGUAAAGGGCGUGUAGGCGGUUUGCUAAGUCAUGUGUGAAAGCCCUCGGCUUAACCGAGGAACGACGCAUGAAACUGGCAAGCUAGAGUACCAAAGAGGAGAGUGGAAUUCCUGGUGUAGCGGUGAAAUGCGCAGAUAUCAGGAAGAACACCCGUGGCUAAGGCGGCUCUCUAGUACGGUACUGACGCUGAGACGCGAAAGCGUGGGGAGCGAACAGG
RNAcentral lists this ribosomal RNA (253 nucleotides) under uncultured bacterium. RNAcentral describes it as "partial 16S ribosomal RNA". It matches the Rfam family "Bacterial small subunit ribosomal RNA", at positions 524 to 776 of the family's 1533-position model. The record is from RNAcentral.